ACGGAGGCAGCAGUGGGGAAUAUUGCACAAUGGGAGAAAUCCUGAUGCAGCGACGCCGCGUGAGUGAAGAAGUAUUUCGGUAUGUAAAGCUCUAUCAGCAGGGAAGAAAAUGACGGUACCUGACUAAGAAGCCCCGGCUAACUACGUGCCAGCAGCCGCGGUAAUACGUAGGGGGCAAGCGUUAUCCGGAUUUACUGGGUGUAAAGGGAGCGUAGACGGCGAUGCAAGUCUGAUGUGAAAUGCGGGGGCUCAACUCCUGAACUGCAUUGGAAACUGUAUUGCUGGAGUGCCGGAGAGGUAAGCGGAAUUCCUAGUGUAGCGGUGAAAUGCGUAGAUAUUAGGAGGAACACCAGUGGCGAAGGCGGCUUACUGGACGGUAACUGACGUUGAGGCUCGAAAGCGUGGGGAGCAAACAGGAUUAGAUACCCUGGUA
This 433-nucleotide ribosomal RNA is filed under the name uncultured Lachnospiraceae bacterium. RNAcentral describes it as "partial 16S ribosomal RNA". It matches the Rfam family "Bacterial small subunit ribosomal RNA", at positions 341 to 792 of the family's 1533-position model. Lineage: Bacteria; Bacillati; Bacillota; Clostridia; Lachnospirales; Lachnospiraceae. The record is from RNAcentral.